GGCUUAUUUUGCGAUGGCGGAGCUCGACCGCCCCGGGAAAGGGUGAUGGCGUUCAUUGACGCCCAUCGCGAGGAACUGGGGGUCGAGCCGAUCUGCCGCGAGCUGGCGAUCGCCCCA
This is a regulatory RNA element of Aurantimonas sp. 22II-16-19i, 117 nucleotides long. It matches the Rfam family "ALIL pseudoknot". Lineage: Bacteria; Pseudomonadati; Pseudomonadota; Alphaproteobacteria; Hyphomicrobiales; Aurantimonadaceae. The record is from Rfam.